This 29-nucleotide non-coding RNA is filed under the name Cricetulus griseus (Chinese hamster). Lineage: Eukaryota; Metazoa; Chordata; Mammalia; Rodentia; Cricetidae. The record is from RNAcentral.
ACUUUAAUGGGAAUGAUGAAGAAGAUCUU